AGUCCCUCGGUGGGGCCAGGCUCCAGCGCUCGCCUGGCAGAUGCGGCCCCGGGGCCAUCCCGAGCCCGAGGGGCGGAGAGGGGAGCCGAGAAUUCGGAAGUGAGAAGGGGACCCGGAGACAAAGGGAAAAAACCAAGACUGAGAAAGAAGUGAGAGUAUGGGUGAAAAGAAUGAGAAAGGAUGAUACUGAGAAGACAAAGGGAAAAAGUAGACUGCAUGCCCCUCUACCAAAAGUGUUGUUUGUUGACUUUCGAUUUUUCGAAAGCGAGAAAAGAUAAAGAGCUCUUGACCUGUUUUCCUUUGGGAUUUCAGCCUGAACAACCUCUCCCCUGCUGGCAAAAUUAUUGCUUUGGUUCAGUUCUUAGGGCAUCCACCCUUCUAC
Molecule: long non-coding RNA, 382 nt
Filed under: Homo sapiens (human)
Lineage: Eukaryota; Metazoa; Chordata; Mammalia; Primates; Hominidae
Description: non-protein coding lnc-MTFR1-1:2
Source: RNAcentral